Eriocheir sinensis (Chinese mitten crab) is the source of this 490-nucleotide long non-coding RNA. RefSeq lists it as uncharacterized. The record is from RefSeq and is a predicted model, not a curated record. Lineage: Eukaryota; Metazoa; Arthropoda; Malacostraca; Decapoda; Varunidae. The transcript is spliced from 2 exons.
AGUGACAGGAAAGUGUAUUGAAGGAUUGCAGAGUGACAGGAAAGUGUAUUGAAGGAUUGCAGAGUGACAUGAAAGUGUAUUGAAGGAUUGCAGAGUGACAGGAAAGUGUAUUGAUGGAUUGCAGAGUGACAGGAAAGUGUAUUGAAGGAUUGCAGAGUGACAGGAAAGUGUAUUGAAGGAUUGCAGAGUGACAGGAAAGUGUAUUGAAGGAUUGCAGUGACAGGAAAGUGUAUUGAAGGAUUGCAGAGUGACAGGAAAGUGUAUUGAAGGAUUGCAGAGUGACAGGAAAGUGUAUUGAAGGAUUGCAGAGUGACAGGAAAGUGUAUUGAAGGAUUGCAGAGUGACAGGAAGGUGUAUUGAAGGAUUGCAGAGUGACAGGAAAGUGUAUUGAAGGAUUGCAGAGUGACAGGACAGUGUAUUGAAGGAUUGCAGAGUGACAGGAAAGUGUAUUGAAGGAUUGUAGAGUGACAGGAAAUUGUAUUGAAGGAUU